Ahaetulla prasina is the source of this 452-nucleotide long non-coding RNA. RefSeq lists it as uncharacterized. The transcript is spliced from 3 exons. The record is from RefSeq and is a predicted model, not a curated record. Lineage: Eukaryota; Metazoa; Chordata; Lepidosauria; Squamata; Colubridae.
GUGGGGAAAAGCCCACAGAAGCAAAAGUGGAAGAGAGAUCUUGUUAAGCCUUAGCAAAGAUGAGAAGAAAACAGAAGGAAAAGCCAGGAAACGUCUUGGCAUUGCCAGAAGGAUCUUUCAAUCAAGAACAGAUGGGCGCAGUUCAGAUUGCUGAUUGUCGUACUUCUCAAAAUACGCCGUGCAAGAUCUAUGCAAAAUGAGCUUGUUGGAGUUGCAUUGUUGAAGAGUUCUUGUGUUGUAUUUUGGUCAUGGAUGGACAGAACUCUCUCCUACAACACCCUAUGAAGCAGGGGUGGUAUUUACUUACCUUCGCUACUGGUUCGCAAAUCUUCUCAAGCAACCUUCCUGCCACAGUUUACUUUGGAUUCCGAUCUCUUUAUCCAGCCCCAACUAUAAAGAACAAUUCAAAUCUCAGCUUAAUUGGAAAGACCACUGCGGACAGGAAAGGAGGU